UUGACAGCACACAGUGAGAAUUUCUGUUUAUAAGAAAAAUAAAUUUGUGCUCUCUCUCCAGUUCCACUGCUCAAAAUUACUCCUGAAGGGAUAAGGACCCCAGGACAUGCCACUGGACCACUGAAGGGAUUUUUCAUUAUGUUCGACAUUUGGAAAUUUCAACUGAAGAUAAUUGCAGGUAAGCGUCCACCAACCGAUGUAUUGAUUUUCCAUGGUAGUUUUUAAAAUGGGUACUUGUAC
Molecule: long non-coding RNA, 240 nt
Filed under: Macaca mulatta (Rhesus monkey)
Lineage: Eukaryota; Metazoa; Chordata; Mammalia; Primates; Cercopithecidae
Description: lncRNA (ENSMMUG00000062675.1)
Source: RNAcentral